RNAcentral lists this ribosomal RNA (497 nucleotides) under uncultured bacterium. RNAcentral describes it as "partial 16S ribosomal RNA". It matches the Rfam family "Bacterial small subunit ribosomal RNA", at positions 28 to 507 of the family's 1533-position model. The record is from RNAcentral.
GAUGAACGCUGGCGGCGUGCCUAAUACAUGCAAGUCGAGCGAACGGACGAGAAGCUUGCUUUUCUGAUGUUAGCGGCGGACGGGUGAGUAACAAGUGGAUAACCUACCUAUAAGACUGGGAUAACUUCGGGAAACCGGAGCUAAUACCGGAUAAUAUUUUGAACCGCAUGGUUCAAAAGUGAAAGACGGCCUUGCUGUCACUUAUAGAUGGAUCCGCGCUGCAUUAGCUAGUUGGUAAGGUAACGGCUUACCAAGGCAACGAUGCAUAGCCGACCUGAGAGGGUGAUCGGCCACACUGGAACUGAGACACGGUCCAGACUCCUACGGGAGGCAGCAGUAGGGAAUCUUCCGCAAUGGGCGAAAGCCUGACGGAGCAACGCCGCGUGAGUGAUGAAGGUCUUCGGAUCGUAAAACUCUGUUAUUAGGGAAGAACAUAUCUGUAAGUAACUGUGCACAUCUUGACGGUACCUAAUCAGAAAGCCACGGCUAACUACGUG